GAGGGUCUAGCUCAAUUGGUAGAGUGCAUGCUUAGAAUGCAUGAGGUCCUGGGUUCAAUCCUUGGUACGUCC
Molecule: transfer RNA, 72 nt
Filed under: Camelus bactrianus (Bactrian camel)
Lineage: Eukaryota; Metazoa; Chordata; Mammalia; Artiodactyla; Camelidae
Also listed under: 2 other names
Rfam family: tRNA
About the family: Transfer RNA (tRNA) molecules are approximately 80 nucleotides in length. Their secondary structure includes four short double-helical elements and three loops (D, anti-codon, and T loops).
Source: Rfam by way of RNAcentral